AACGAACGCUGGCGGCAUGCCUAACACAUGCAAGUCGAACGAGACCUUCGGGUCUAGUGGCGCACGGGUGCGUAACGCGUGGGAACCUGCCCUUAGGUUCGGAAUAACUCCCCGAAAGGGGUGCUAAUACCGGAUAAUGUCUUCGGACCAAAGAUUUAUCGCCUUUGGAUGGGCCCGCGUUGGAUUAGCUAGUUGGUAGGGUAAAAGCCUACCAAGGCGACGAUCCAUAGCUGGUCUGAGAGGAUGAUCAGCCACACUGGGAAUGAGACACGGCCCAGAAUCCGACGGGAAGGAGCAGUGGGGAAUAUUGGACAAUGGGCGAAAGCCUGAUCCAGCAAUGCCGCGUGAGUGAUGAAGGCCUUAGGGUUGUAAAGCUCUUUUACCCGGGAUGAUAAUGACAGUACCGGGAGAAUAAGCUCCGGCUAACUACGUG
RNAcentral lists this ribosomal RNA (433 nucleotides) under uncultured bacterium. RNAcentral's name for it is "partial 16S ribosomal RNA". It matches the Rfam family "Bacterial small subunit ribosomal RNA", at positions 29 to 507 of the family's 1533-position model. The record is from RNAcentral.